GACGAACGCCGGCGGCGUGCCUUAGGCAUGCAAGUGGAACGAGCUAACUUCGGUUAGUGAGUCGCGAACGGCUGAGUAACACGUAGGAAUCUACCCCUUGGCGGGGAAUACCUACUCGAAAGAGUAGUUAAUACCGCAUAAGAUCUAAGGAUGAAAGGACGUAACUGUCCACCGAGGGAGGAGCCUGCGGUCCAUCAGUUUGUUGGUAGGGUAAUGGCCUACCAAGACUACGACGGAUAGGGGACGUGAGAGCGUGACCCCCCAGAGAGGCACUGAGAUACGGGCCUCACACCUACGGGUGGCAGCAACCGGGAAUUGUGCGCAAUGGACGAAAGUCUGACGCCGCGACGCCGCGUGAAGGAUGAAGGCCUUAGGGUCGUAAACUUCUUUUGGCAAAACCGAGAGGUUUUGCAGAAUUAAGCACCCGCUAACUACGUGCCAGCAGCUGCGGUGAUACGUAGGGUGCAAGCGUUAUCCGGAUUUAUUGGGCGUAAAGAGUUCGUAGGUUUUCUCAUAAGUUGUCUUUCAAAUACUGGGGCUCAACUUCAGGAAGGAGGAUAAUACUGUGAGAAUUGAAGAACGUAGGGGUUACUGGAAUUUGUCAUGUAGGGGUGAAAUCCGUUGAUAUGACAAAGAACACCGAGGGCGAAGGCAGGUAACUGGGCGUAUCUUGACACUGAGGAACGAAAGCUAGGGGAGCGAAAGGGAUUAGAGACCCCGUGUAGUCCUAGCCGUAAACGAUGCUCGCUAGGGAUGGGGGAUUUAUCUUCCGUCUCGUAAGCUAACGCGUUAAGCGAGCCGCCUGGGGAGUACGGUCGCAAGACUAAAACUCAAAGGA
This 838-nucleotide ribosomal RNA is filed under the name uncultured bacterium. Its description in RNAcentral is "bacterial SSU rRNA". It matches the Rfam family "Bacterial small subunit ribosomal RNA", at positions 28 to 908 of the family's 1533-position model. The record is from RNAcentral.